Molecule: ribosomal RNA, 274 nt
Filed under: uncultured bacterium
Lineage: Bacteria
Description: partial 16S ribosomal RNA
Rfam family: Bacterial small subunit ribosomal RNA
Source: RNAcentral
AUACGGGGGGAGCAAGCGUUGUCCGGAAUCAUUGGGCGUAAAGGGCACGUAGGCGGUUUCUUAAGUCGAAUGAGAAAUCUCACGGCUCAACCGUGAAACUGCGUUCGAAACUAAGUGACUUGAGUUUGGGAGAGGUGUACGGAAUUCCUGGUGUAGCGGUGGAAUGCGUAGAUAUCAGGAAGAACACCAAUGGCGAAGGCAGUACACUGGCCUGAAUCUGACGCUGAGGUGCGAAAGCGUGGGGAGCAAACAGGAUUAGAAACCCCGGUAGUCC